Molecule: long non-coding RNA, 1556 nt
Organism: Heterocephalus glaber (naked mole-rat)
Lineage: Eukaryota; Metazoa; Chordata; Mammalia; Rodentia; Bathyergidae
Source: Ensembl
ACGUCCCCGCGCGCCCCGCCCCCCGCGGGGAACGCCCCUCCCGCUCCUGCGAGCAGGGAAGGGCGACACCUCUCAGCAGACGCCGGCGCCGCGAGCGGAAGUGGCUCCUUUGCGCCAGGGCGGAGGCCGGAAGCGUUUCGCCUCCCGCGGGACGAUCGCCGGCCUGGGAGGGAGAUGCGAUCGGCUCCGAGGGAACCUUUGCCAAGGGCAGGCCGCCGGGCCCUGCAAGUCAGGCGAGCGAACGAACGAGACCGGAGGGAGCCAACGGGGCUCGCGUUCUCGUAUUUGUGAAGCCACUGGCACGACUGCAGCGAAGCAGGAUUUGGGUGUUUUUUUCCUUUUACUAUAAAACAGCACCUAAAGGUUUGGGGAGGGUUAAUAAAAAAGUUUUUAAAAAUAAUAAGGGCCCCGAUGAGGGCAACCUACAGCGGGUCCAGAGCUGCUGCGUAAAUUUGACGUCGCCUUAAAAUAAUUCCCGUCAGAGGCCGAGAGUGGAGCUGAGUCCGUGGGUCUCGGUUCCCAGGGCCGCACACUGAAAACUUUUGUUCCUAAAGCAGCUUAUUCUCAAUUGGAAACAUGAACCGUGACAGCUAGGAUAUCGCCACCAGAAAGAACAGCUGUUAGACAUUCUGCGUCUGUGUGUGUUAAAAUUCUACGCGUAGUUCUUAUAACCUACCUUUUGUCUUUAGACGCGUACGAUGUUUAUUAUGUGAGUGAGAAGGUUCAAGUAUGGUGUGGCGCAAACCUGUAAUCCUACCACUUUGGGAGGCUGAAGGGUUCUAGCCCAGCCUGACAAUUGAGUGAUUUAGUGACUUUGGGAGACCCUGUCUCAAAAAGAAAAAAGAUCUGCGGAGGUGGCUCAUUGUGAAGCCCCUGGAUUCACCCCAGUUACACCCAAGGGGAAAAAAGCUGAUUUGUUGUGGCUGGGGUAGUAGGGUAGGGGUUGGGAGUGGAGCUCAGGGUAGAGCACUUGCUUGGCACAGAUGCCCAUGGCCCCCAGCACUGCAAAAGCCCAAAACAAAAAGCUUUUGCACGUUUCUGUAAAAUAAAGACUUACAGUGGAUAUGAAUUUUAACAGACUAUUUGAUAUGUAGUUUAGCCCUCUAAAUGGUAUGGUUGAUUUAUUGCAUCUGGAACCGACUACUUACUGUGUGUAAGGAACCCACCUGAUGUCAAACCCUGUCCAACUUUGCUGUCACUCCCCUGAAAUGAUAAGAAUGUUUUGUGAAAGCUGUGAAUCACCCAUUCUUGGUGUCUUGUCUCCUGUGUGGCAGUGUUGUCCGGUAAGGACCAGACAUCCAUGCUCGAGUCAAGGUAAAUAUUUCACAAGGGCUCCGUGCACUGUAAGCCUGUGAGCUGAGGCCUCUUUGCCUUUUAACUACAAUAGCUCCUUCCUGUGUAUAGACAGGAUGUUGGAGAAAUCCAUUGCUGAGACUUGCUUUCCAACUGGCACCAAGUAUAUAAACUUUAGUUUUCAAAAGUCCGAAUAUAAAUGAACAUUUGAAUUUGUCCUUUGGAGUCUGUUUUUAAAAAGGCUAAAGGCCUCUGAAAUAAAC